RNAcentral lists this ribosomal RNA (440 nucleotides) under uncultured bacterium. Its description in RNAcentral is "bacterial SSU rRNA". It matches the Rfam family "Bacterial small subunit ribosomal RNA", at positions 338 to 786 of the family's 1533-position model. The record is from RNAcentral.
CCUACGGGAGGCUGCAGUCGAGGAUCUUCGGCAAUGGGCGCAAGCCUGACCGAGCGACGCCGCGUGCGCGACGAAGGCCUUCGGGUUGUAAAGCGCUGUCGAGGGGGAGGAAAGCCGCAAGGCCUGACCGACCCCUGGAGGAAGCACGGGCUAAGUUCGUGCCAGCAGCCGCGGUAAGACGAACCGUGCGAACGUUGUUCGGAAUCACUGGGCUUAAAGGGCGCGUAGGCGGGCGACCCGGUCGGGGGUGAAAUACCACCGCUCAACGGUGGCAGGGCCUCCGAUACCGGCCGCCUGGAGGAGGAUAGGGGCACGCGGAACUUCCGGUGGAGCGGUGAAAUGCGUAGAGAUCGGAAGGAACGCCGGCGGCGAAAGCGGCGUGCUGGAUCCUUGCUGACGCUGAGGCGCGAAAGCCAGGGGAGCGAACGGGAUUAGAUACC